AUGUUUUUAAGCAGACUAAAAACUCAUUCUGCUGCCUUGUUGCUGUUCAUUUUCAUUUUGUUUUUAUUUUUUCUAAAGCAGUUAACCAGCUGCACCCUCACUGAGCCUAGAAGAUACAGUCUCAUAUAUGAAAACACUUGUAACAUGACUGGAGGAUGGUUAAAAACAUAUUCAAAUGGAGGUUGGAAUCCUAAAGAAAAAUCUAUCUCACUAUAUAUUAUGCUUCAAGUAGUUGAUUUUCCACUGGUACAUGUGAUGCUGCAUAAUACAAGAAUUGGAGGCAGGAUUUCUGAUGGGUUAGAUUGGAUUGAAGCAUAACAGGAACAGGGGUUGUCUCUCAGAACACUUCUGACAGGCUGCAGGCUCUGAGGCCAAUACUGGGAGCGUAUCAGGAGGGGUCUGCCCCCUGGUGGAUUCCAGCAGAGAAUUUCUGAUUAUGUCUAUUAUUUCCAAAAUAGAUCUUCUCUUCCAC
RNAcentral lists this long non-coding RNA (472 nucleotides) under Macaca mulatta (Rhesus monkey). Its description in RNAcentral is "lncRNA (ENSMMUG00000056173.1)". Lineage: Eukaryota; Metazoa; Chordata; Mammalia; Primates; Cercopithecidae. The record is from RNAcentral.